Molecule: long non-coding RNA, 493 nt
Organism: Heterocephalus glaber (naked mole-rat)
Lineage: Eukaryota; Metazoa; Chordata; Mammalia; Rodentia; Bathyergidae
Source: RefSeq, a predicted model, not a curated record
AUGGGGCAAUUGUGCUCCACCUUUCCUCUGGGCAGCCACCAGCUUUGGCUCCUGCUCAUGACUGAAUCCCUACACCGUCCGCUCCUAGGUCCAGGCUCUGGGACAGCCCUGAUGGCUCUGCCUGCCGCUGUGGCUGUUUGGAGCCUCGGAGAGUCUUGUCUUUGCAGAUGGCCUCAAGCUGAUCUUCUCACCUCUCACCAGCGAUAAAGAACCUUUCUAUCCCUCCUCAAAGACACUGUGGUGUCUGGAGCAUCACUGCAUCGUCACGUUAUGCCACACAGGAACCAAGCUGCUUCCUUUGGGUGUCUACCCUGUCGGAAGGAGCCAGAAAUCGCGGGGCGCCAGAUCCAGUGAAUAAAGUGGAUGAGGACACACUAACGUUUGCACGGGCCUGCCUGUCUGUGGGUGGCCCCUGGCAGCAGCGGUUCAUUGUGUUUUCGGUCGCACCUUGCAAAGAUGCUUGCGAGAGAGCACUUCCAGGACUGCUUCAGAG